RNAcentral lists this long non-coding RNA (509 nucleotides) under Eutrema salsugineum. RNAcentral describes it as "long non-coding RNA (ESAL_LNC001387)". Lineage: Eukaryota; Viridiplantae; Streptophyta; Magnoliopsida; Brassicales; Brassicaceae. The record is from RNAcentral.
AACCAAACCGUGGCCAAGUCCUUUGGGCUUGAAUCUUCACCAGCUAGACUCACUUGCUCCCUCCACUCUGACUUCAAAGACUUCGCCGGAAAAUGCUCCGAUGCUGCCAAAGUCGCCGGUUUUGCUCUCGCCACCUCUGCUCUCGUCGUCUCGGUAUAACUUCAAUUUCUCAUUAAACAUAUAAACUAAAAACUUAUAGGCCAUUGUGUUUAUUGAAGAACCAAGUUAGGAAUCGUUAUCUAAGACACAUCCAUUUUUUGACUGCCGAUAAAUUUUGAAUGAAAAACUUGUGAAAGAUAGACAAAUCCACUCAUUACCAUUUCUUUUUUUAAUAGGAGCAUUACAAUACUUGUAAAUUUAGUUGCAUAUUGUUAAUUAGUCUUUUAUUCUUGUUCUGUAAAUAAAUAUUUGGGAAAAAUGAAGGGGGCAAGUGCAGAGGGAGCACCAAAGAGGCUAACGUACGACGAGAUACAGAGCAAGACUUACAUGGAGGUUAAGGGGACUGGUAC